GUAGCGGUGAAAUGCGUAGAUAUCAGGAGGAACACCGAUGGCGAAGGCAGCUCACUGGACAAGCACUGACACUGAGGCACGAAAGCGUGGGGAGCGAAAGGGAUUAGAUACCCCUGUAGUCCACGCCGUAAACUUUGUACACUAGAUGUCGGGGGAUUCGACCCCCUCGGUGUCCCAGCUAACGCGAUAAGUGUACCGCCUGCGGACUACGGCCGCAAGGCUAAAACGUAAAGGAAUUGGCGGGGCCCCGCACAAGCGGUGGAGCAUGUGGCUUAAUUCGAUGCAACGUGAAGAACCUUACCUGGGCUUGACAUGUAUUGGACCGGCUGUGAAAGCAGCCUUCUCUUCGGAGCCGAUACACAGGUGCUGCAUGGCUGUCGUCAGCUCGUGUCGUGAGAUGUUCGGUUAAGUCCGGCAACGAGCGCAACCCCUGUCCAUAGUUGCCAGCAUUCAGUUGGGGACUCUAUGGAGACAAUCCUGCUUAGCAGGAGGGAAGGUGGGGAUGACGUCAAGUCAGUAUGGCCCUUACGUCCAGGGCUGCACACGUGCUACAAUGCCCGGUACAAUGGGAAGCAAGACCGCGAGGUGGAGCAAAUCCAUAAAACCGGGCCCAGUUCGGAUUGGAGUCUGCAACUCGACUCCAUGAAGCCGGAAUCGCUAGUAAUGGCGUAUCAGCAAUGACGCCGUGAAUACGUUCCCGGGGCUUGCACACACCGCCCGUC
RNAcentral lists this ribosomal RNA (722 nucleotides) under uncultured bacterium. RNAcentral's name for it is "bacterial SSU rRNA". It matches the Rfam family "Bacterial small subunit ribosomal RNA", at positions 675 to 1398 of the family's 1533-position model. The record is from RNAcentral.